UGGGGAAUAUUGCACAAUGGGGAAGACCCUGAUGCAGCGACGCCGCGUGAAGGAUGAAGUAUUUCGGUAUGUAAACUUCUAUCAGCAGGGAAGAAAAUGACGGUACCUGACUAAGAAGCCCCGGCUAACUACGUGCCAGCAGCCGCGGUAAUACGUAGGGGGCAAGCGUUAUCCGGAUUUACUGGGUGUAAAGGGAGCGUAGACGGAGCAGCAAGUCUGAAGUGAAAGCCCGCGGCUCAACUGCGGGACUGCUUUGGAAACUGUUCAACUGGAGUGCUGGAGAGGUAAGCGGAAUUCCUAGUGUAGCGGUGAAAUGCGUAGAUAUUAGGAGGAACACCAGUGGCGAAGGCGGCUUACUGGACGGUAACUGACGUUGAGGCUCGAAAGCGUGGGGAGCAACAGGAUUAGAUACC
RNAcentral lists this ribosomal RNA (413 nucleotides) under uncultured bacterium. RNAcentral's name for it is "bacterial SSU rRNA". It matches the Rfam family "Bacterial small subunit ribosomal RNA", at positions 355 to 786 of the family's 1533-position model. The record is from RNAcentral.